GGAGAGUUGCCAGAGUUGGUCGAAUGGAUCGGACUGUAAAUCCGACUUGAAAGACGCAGUGGUUCGAAUCCACUACUCUCCACCA
RNAcentral lists this transfer RNA (85 nucleotides) under Pseudomonas putida. Its description in RNAcentral is "tRNA-Tyr". It matches the Rfam family "tRNA". Rfam says of the family: Transfer RNA (tRNA) molecules are approximately 80 nucleotides in length. Their secondary structure includes four short double-helical elements and three loops (D, anti-codon, and T loops). The record is from RNAcentral. Lineage: Bacteria; Pseudomonadati; Pseudomonadota; Gammaproteobacteria; Pseudomonadales; Pseudomonadaceae.